GCAUAACGCGAAGAACCUUACCAGGUCUUGACAUCCCAUUGACCACUAUGGAGACAUAGUUUUCCCUUCGGGGACAACGGUGACAGGUGGUGCAUGGUUGUCGUCAGCUCGUGUCGUGAGAUGUUGGGUUAAGUCCCGCAACGAGCGCAACCCUUGUUCUUAGUUGCCAUCAUUUAGUUGGGCACUCUAAGGAGACUGCCGGUGACAAACCGGAGGAAGGUGGGGAUGACGUCAAAUCAUCAUGCCCCUUAUGACUUGGGCUACACACGUGCUACAAUGGACGGUACAAACGGUUGCCAACCCGCGAGGGGGAGCUAAUCCGAUAAAACCGUUCUCAGUUCGGAUUGUAGACUGCAACUCGCCUACAUGAAGCCGGAAUCGCUAGUAAUCGCGGAUCAGCAUGCCGCGGUGAAUACGUUCCCGGGUCUUGUACACACCG
This 439-nucleotide ribosomal RNA is filed under the name uncultured bacterium. Its description in RNAcentral is "bacterial SSU rRNA". It matches the Rfam family "Bacterial small subunit ribosomal RNA", at positions 954 to 1392 of the family's 1533-position model. The record is from RNAcentral.